CAGCCAGUUGGCCAGGACCCCUCUGCAAUAAAAUAUUAAUAUUAAAAAAAACAGCCUUUUUUAUCAUCUGAGGUAUUUGUAGCCGCCUCUCUGAGCAGCGUUCACUCCCUUCUUCAUUCAUAUUGUGUGGAAUACAUUGGAUUCCAUCUCCUCACAGCCCUGUGGGGAGAGGUGGUGGUGGCUUUCCUCCAGCAAGCCUUGGCAGGCUCCAGCUGUACACUGCUACUUGAUUAAGGAUUUGGCGUGGUAGCUAAGGUCAGCUUCCAGGAAGGCUUCCCUGGCUGUGUCACAAAUUGGAGAAAAGGAAACAAACCUGCAGAAGAUGCCAUAUGCAGAGGGGUGGCUUCAUGUUAUAACAACCCACUCUCAAGAGAACCAACUCAUCCAGGAGAAAAGACUAAAUCUUCCUCAUUCUACAGACUUGAGGAUGCUAGCCUUCCCCAGGCCGUACAGAAAGAAGAAAAUAGAAGCACUGGCCAGGUUUUGUGAAAUACAGCACGCAGGCAGAGAUGUCAGGACGGAUCUCACUGGAGAUGAAUAUCUAAGCAACAGUUCAAACGCUAUUGACUUAACAGGAACCAACUGUGCCUUUUAUGAACAAACCUAAAUCAGAACAGAAACUUCAGGGCUGACUUUGAAAAGAGGCCCCCAGACCUCGCUCGGUUACUAACCCACCCCCAAGCUCCCGCAUGUGCUGGAGCAGAAGCACAGCCUCUCUGACCAGUUCCUGUCUGUAGUGUCUGUCUGUCCCACCAGUGUGGCAGCAAUGGGCUACAGGCUUGAGUCAGGGGAAUCCUGAAGUGCGUUGGUGACCCAUCCCAUCCCGCCCCCUUGUCCCUCCAGGGAACUUUUAUUUUUAUUCCUAUACUUUACCUCCACUGGCUAGUCGGGUCUGAGCUUCAGGCCCUGCCCACGUUAUUGUUUAUGGGAAGAGGCAGUCUCCAACAGGAACGUCCUGGGGUCCACACCCCUGUGCGCUGAUACCCCUAGGAUCAGCCUAUGGGCCCAAUAACAGCAAACAAAGAUAGUGAGCAGAGGGGACGUGCCCCUGGCUUAAUUUUGGGGAAUGACUACUUACUAAGGAGGCAGGGAGCGAGUGGCAAGGAGGAGACUCCCCUCAGAAAAUUGCUGCCCCAGAAAAAGAUCUUAUUACCUCUGGGACUGUCUGGAAGACCUGGAGAAAAACCCAUUGCAGGGUCAUGCAGGAGUGAGCCUGGGACUGAGACCAUCCUGGUGUAAAGGAGAACAGAAACCACACACCCCAAGAUGGGCUAGGAGACCAGGGGGACAUAAACGUUGUCUCCUACCAGGUCCCCACAUGAUGCCAGGGCCCCAGGGCCAUAGCGACACCAGGACCCAGCUCUGCUUGCUGUGGGGGCGGGAGAGGCUUCUUCUCACCGAACAAUCUGACUGUUGCCAGAUGUGGGCUCCCAGCCAGCUUUUACAUAAUUCAGGCUUUUCUUCUCUCCACACGGUCCAACUUAAAGGAGCCUUAGAAGUUGGGCUUUAAUCUUCAUCCCGAGCCCUCCCUACCUCCUUUCAUGUUGUUCCUCCGCGUGGCCACAAACCCUCUCACCCAGAUGCGCGAAGGACCUUUCUUGUGUGUGCCGCACAUAUGGCUGGAAACAAAAGCCACACUUCUCCUUUAUGUUUGCUACAACCUAACAUAAAAAAUAACCCCAAGCAUCUGUCCUCAGCCUCUGGAUACCAGCGACUUCUCUUCCAAGGAUCCCAUCUCUGAACACCCUGUUGAGAGCUCAGGGUGUGAGCAGGAAGAAGCACUGCCAAGAAGGAGAGAAUUGGAUCACGAUCAUGCUUGGUUCUGUCAGCGAAGGCCGGCUUUUUCUGAUUUAAAGCUGUUCUUGUCACGUGAGGAGAGCCAAGUACCUCAGAGGGGCUGAAGGGGACUCUGACCAAGCAGGUCCUAAAUUCAUUUUGUUUCUCUGUUCGUAGGAGUUGGUUGUGUCAUCAAUGAUCAAGCCUGUCUUUGUCGUCUGGACCUCAACUGUAAGGCUGGAGCACAGAUCGAGCCUUGCUCGGCUUUCAAACACUCAUGUUUACAACGCACAAAUGCUGAGGGAUCUCUAUAGUCUCCCUCAAGUCCAGCCUUCUCAUUAAGAAAGAAUAAAGAAACCACCACGUCUUAUUGAGGAAAGCCUUUUCAUAAGAUCAACAGUACACACACUGCUGGUCUCAGAACAUUUCUUUCGGGACAGCCAGGCCUACUUAUCCAUUCAGUGGCCCCAGACACCAGGUCCCAGAAUAGCUUGAGGUACCUGUGGAACCCACUUCGCCUCUAGCACGGAUCUUCCCAUCAGCAGCUCUCACCUUUCAGUUGAGUCAGAAAGUGAGGGAUUCAGCAAAGCUGGCCUUGCUUUCAUAACAAAACAACUUAACUAUUGCAGUAAUUAAUCCACUUCCACAGGAACGGUAACAAUAACAGCGUAGCAACCUAAUCACCAGUUAGGUUGUUGCACUACACAGGGAGACAACCGCUGCACUGGGAAUUAAGUUUCCAGUCCAGGAGGCUUGGCGGAUCUGUUGCAAGCACAGUAUAGCUGAAUCUCUCGUUGUC
Long non-coding RNA from Alexandromys fortis (reed vole), 2575 nucleotides. RefSeq lists it as uncharacterized. The record is from RefSeq and is a predicted model, not a curated record. The transcript has 3 exons. NCBI's taxonomy places the organism in Eukaryota, Metazoa, Chordata, Mammalia, Rodentia, Cricetidae.